UACAGAGGGUGCGAGCGUUGUUCGGAAUUAUUGGGCGUAAAGGGCGCGUAGGCGGUGCGGUAAGUCACCUGUGAAAUCUCCUGGCUCAACUGGGAGUCUGCAGGCGAAACUGCCGUGCUGGAGUGUGGGAGAGGUGAGUGGAAUUCCCGGUGUAGCGGUGAAAUGCGUAGAUAUUGGGAAGAACACCGGUGGCGAAGGCGGCGACCUGGUGAGAUACUGACGCUGAGGUGCGAAAGCGUGGGGAGCAAACAGG
RNAcentral lists this ribosomal RNA (253 nucleotides) under uncultured bacterium. RNAcentral describes it as "partial 16S ribosomal RNA". It matches the Rfam family "Bacterial small subunit ribosomal RNA", at positions 524 to 776 of the family's 1533-position model. The record is from RNAcentral.